CUAUCCUUUAAAAAAGGCUUUAAUGGGGUUAUCAAACCAGAAGCUCUUGAGGGCAUGACUAAAGAUUCAAGUUCUCCACAGGAUAUCAGUCACUCAAUACUGCUAAUGUUUUCCUAAGGAGAGAUGAGA
Meriones unguiculatus (Mongolian gerbil) is the source of this 129-nucleotide small nucleolar RNA. The record is from Ensembl. NCBI's taxonomy places the organism in Eukaryota, Metazoa, Chordata, Mammalia, Rodentia, Muridae.